This 447-nucleotide ribosomal RNA is filed under the name uncultured bacterium. Its description in RNAcentral is "bacterial SSU rRNA". It matches the Rfam family "Bacterial small subunit ribosomal RNA", at positions 355 to 825 of the family's 1533-position model. The record is from RNAcentral.
UGGGGAAUAUUGCACAAUGGGCGAAAGCCUGAUGCAGCAAUGCCGCGUGUGUGAAGAAGGCCUGCGGGUUGUAAAGCACUUUCGCCGAGGACGAUAAUGACGGUACGCGGAGAAGAAGCUCCGGCUAACUUCGUGCCAGCAGCCGCGGUAAUACGAAGGGGGCUAGCGUUGUUCGGAUUUACUGGGCGUAAAGCGCGUGUAGGCGGGUCGUUAAGUUGGGGGUGAAAUCCCGAGGCUCAACCUCGGAACUGCCUUCAAAACUGGCGACCUGGACCCAAGUAGAGGCAAGUGGAAUUGCGAGUGUAGAGGUGAAAUUCGUAGAUAUUCGCAGGAACACCAGUGGCGAAGGCGACUUGCUGGACUUGUGGUGACGCUGAGACGCGAAAGCGUGGGGAGCAAACAGGAUUAGAUACCCCAGUAGUCCCUGAGCGGGCUGGCAAGGCGCAU